AGCGAACGCUGGCGGCAGGCCUAAAACAUGCAAGUCGAACGGAUCCUUCGGGAUUAGUGGCGGACGGGUGAGUAACACGUGGAACGUGCCUUUUGGUUCGGAACAACUCAGGGAAACUUGAGCUAAUACCGAAUGUGCCCUUCGGGGAAAGAUUUAUCGCCAUUAGAGCGGCCGCGUCUGAUUAGCUUGUUGGUGAGGUAAAGGCUCACCAAGGCGACGAUCAGUAGCUGGUCUGAGAGGAUGAUCAGCCACACUGGGACUGAGACACGGCCCAGACUCCUACGGGAGGCAGCAGUUAGGAAUCUUGCGCAAUGGGGGAAACCCUGACGCAGCCAUGCCGCGUGAAUGAUGAAGGUCUUAGGAUUGUAAAAUUCUUUCAGCGGGGACGAUAAAUGACGGUACCCGCAGAAGAAGCCCCGGCUAAACUUCGUGCCAGC
RNAcentral lists this ribosomal RNA (437 nucleotides) under uncultured bacterium. RNAcentral describes it as "bacterial SSU rRNA". It matches the Rfam family "Bacterial small subunit ribosomal RNA", at positions 29 to 512 of the family's 1533-position model. The record is from RNAcentral.